RNAcentral lists this ribosomal RNA (829 nucleotides) under Lachlania sp. Ep5630a. Its description in RNAcentral is "partial 28S large subunit ribosomal RNA". It matches the Rfam family "Eukaryotic large subunit ribosomal RNA", at positions 363 to 937 of the family's 3401-position model. The record is from RNAcentral. Lineage: Eukaryota; Metazoa; Arthropoda; Insecta; Ephemeroptera; Oligoneuriidae.
GUUGAAAAGAACUUUGAAGAGAGAGUUCAAGAGUACGUGAAACCGUUCUGGGGUAAACGGGUGGAGUCCUAAAGGUCGAAAGGGGAGAUUCAAGUAUCCAGUCCGACUGCCGAUGGGCGUUGCAGGUAUACUGAGACGGACUCCGCAAGGGGUCUGACUUGGGGCUUGUGCGCCGGUACUCGCGCGGGAGGUGGAGCGCACUUCUCCCCGAGUAGGACGCCGCGACCCGCUGGGUGUCGGCCUAAGGCCCGGGUACGAGCCCGUCCUGCGGUUCGCCGCGGGGCGGAGCCCUGGUGUCCCGGCCGACUGCCCGGCGGUAUAACAAUGGAAAUGGCCCGCGUGUCUUGUACUCGCGUGCGUACCCUGCGCAAGCGUUUUGAGGGAGCCUGCCGUGCGGACUUGUGCCGCCGCAGACCCGCUGGCGCUGUUGGCGCGGGGCUUCUCGCUCAGUGGCCUGCUCCUGUUUGCGGCGCUCAAAACUGGGCGACCCACCCGGCCCGUCUUGAAACACGGACCAAGGAGUCUAACAUGUGCGCAAGUCACUGGGUCUAACGAAACCCAAGGGCGUAUUGAACGAAAAGGUCGACCUCGCGUCGGCUUAGGGAAGAUGGAGGCCCCUAGUGGGCUUCCCGCAUUCCCGGGGCGUCUCGUCCUACUUCCGCUUGUCGGUCGAAGGUGAGGCGCACCAAGAGCGCACACGUUGGGACCCGAAAGAUGGUGAACUAUGCCUGGCCAGGACGAAGUCAGGGGAAACCCUGAUGGAGGUCCGUAGCGGUUCUGACGUGCAAAUCGAUCGUCGGAGCUGGGUAUAGGGGCGAAAGACUAAUCG